Delphinapterus leucas (beluga whale) is the source of this 8793-nucleotide non-coding RNA. NCBI's taxonomy places the organism in Eukaryota, Metazoa, Chordata, Mammalia, Artiodactyla, Monodontidae. The record is from RefSeq and is a predicted model, not a curated record.
GGGGACGGCUGUUCUAAAGGGUAGGAGGUGGAGGGAGGCUCCCAGGCUCCAUCCCUUCCUCAGAGCAGGGCAGAGUGGGGACAAUGAGGUGUCUGCCACGGGUAGUUCUGGUUGGUAUCCAUGCAGCAAAGAGCCCCCAAGACACCUCAGGUACAGAAGGGCAGCAAGAGGGGGCUCAGCUCUUUGGGAGGAGAUGAGGAGGAUGGAGGCUUCUAUCUGGGGGGGAAGCUCUAGAGUACUCAAGAAGCAUCAAGAAAUCCCAACUUAACCGCACUCUUGGAGAGCAUGCCCUGUUACUAUGGAGAGGGCUGGUUUUCUCAUGGUCUUAGCAGUGUGGGAUGUGUUGUCAUGGUUAACCAAUCCUCCUGAGCCUUUCCAGGACUCCUAGAAGGUUCCUAGGAGUUUCACUGAGAAUUGAAUGGGAAAAAAACCCAAAACCAGGUAGUUAGGGCUCCCCUGACAGUAGGGGGCUCCAGUUACCCAUAGGACAAACAUAAAUGUUUGCAUUGUAGGAGAUUUGUUUUGGUAGCGUUAUUGGAAGUAGAGUUUAAGAUACAUGCUUAAAUAUCUUUUACAAAGGAUAUCUUAAAGGGCUGUCAUUAUAGAAGGUACUCAGAAAAAGUAAGACCAGAGCCGUUAUUCACAGUAUCUAGUAUCUGUCAGAUAUGUAGCAUGAGAUAAUUAUUGAAAAUUUAUAAUAUCAUUAUCAUCAACACUUAUAGAAGGUUUAAUAAGUGUCUGUACUAAGUGCUUUACAUUCAUUAUCUCAUUUAAUCCUCAUAACAACCCUGGGAUAAUAAUAACUGUAGGUAACCAGAGACAGAGUCAUGGUCAACUGCCCAAAGUCACACAGGGCUCUCCCCAAGCUUGCUUUCUUUGAACCACUAGAACUUACUGCUGGGAAAUCCUUCUUUUCCUUGUGAAUAGUCACAAGUAUCCUGGAAACCAGCCAAGCCUUUAUAGGAAGGCUCUUGUUCUGGGCUUGGAGGGAGAGAAUAUUUAUCAUACUGUGGGGGUAGAAAGAAAAACAGGAAAUGGUCUCAUUUGUUUUGAAAUCUGAAACUAAAUGUCAAGUGUUCAAUCCUUUCAGCGAAGUGGAUUUUUGUUUCUUUUCAUUUGGCCAUUGCAGGUCUGUUUUGUGUGUGUGUGUGUGUUGCGCGGAGGGUCCAUGUUUUCAGACCCAAAGUUCCCUUUACCUCUCUUAUUGGUUCAGGAUCAGACCAGGAGGCAGGGAACCCGGAUUCCAGCCCCGGCUGCUCUCUGGCUCCUGGAAUCUUCGUUUUCUUGCGUGUGGGAGUAGGGGGAUAGCACCACCUCCCUCAGAGCUCAGGUUGGCACGUCAAGUGUGCACAGACAUGCAGCAUCACUGUCGUCAGGAAGAUGCAGAGGGAGAGUUGAGGCACUUGACAGGGAGUAGCUGUGCGUGAGAUCCACGCGGCUUCCUUUUGAGGGGGCCUGAAUGAGGGAACGGGCAUGCUUCUGAGCGUGGAAAGCUCUGCAGAGGUAUAUUUUUGAGACUGAUGCAAAAUCCCAGGCAGUGACGUUCUAGUGACUCAGCCCAGUGGGUGGAAGUGAUUUUAAAUAAUGACAGUAUCAACCGUCUUCCUCUUCCCGCAGUGUCACACACCAUCAAACACAAACUCUCUGGCUCUGCACCCACCGAGUCGGCUAGUCUCUGCGGGCCAGAAAUGCAUGGAACUACGCAUGUAGGUCACAGUGCAGCCCUCGCAGCCAAGGGGGUAAAACUACACAUCUGCCCAGCAGUGUCCUUCCUUCUCUUCCCCACAACCAAGCCCAGAUAAACAAGGGGUGAUAAAAAGGUCACCUUGCACAUUCCCCAGAUUUGGACAGUCCUUUCAGAGUGAAGUGGGGUGUAAUUUUAGCCGUCACCGUCAGGGAAGAGGCCACUUGAGUUAAUUAGAAAGGGAAGCCACCCAAUUUCAGUUAAAACCAUUUAGAAAUUGGUGGCAUUUUAGAGAGAAAGCAACUGCCAUAAUUGGAUCAGGCAGCUCACAGAUGUCUCUUUUCAGACAGAACAAUAGGGGAGUCAGCUCAGGAAAGAGGGUGUGCAGGUCAUGGCCGGGUUUGGAGCUAGUGAGUUUCUCUGCGACCAGCACAGAGAUUGACUCAUGGAACCGAAACAGUGCCUGGCCCCUGGGUCCCUACGACGCUUAUGUCCCCCUUGACCCCCGGGGGCCUCCGGAGGUGAGGGGCCGAUCAGGUAUUUUUCUGGGGCUUCAGAAGGAUUGCAGGGACCCUUGGGCUAGCAGUGGGAGGAAAAAGGAGGGUGGUUUCUUAGGAGAAGAGAGCUCAUGAAUAAAAAUGAGUUAGAGAUGGAAAAGGUGAGAUCGGAAGAGAACACUAAGCACGGAGGCUGUUGUGUGGGUCGGGUUGCAGGGGUAGAAGCCUUGGGGUGGCUCACUCCAAACCCUGAGGCCCCAGAUUGGGAGAUGCAUGACUAAGGAACAUUCACUGUGUACUGUCAGGACAAAAGCAAAUGAAAAACAAGGGGUUCCAUCUUCCCUGUUGAAAAUAAAGGAAGAGAUUUCCCUUUCCUUCAGAAAGCUUGUCAUUGUAAGUACUUUCUUCCUUCUUUGAGAGAGAUAUAAAUCCUUUUAAAGACUAGAUGGGCAUUUUGUCCCUUUUAUGACCCAGGGAUGGCUUCCUCGGGCACCUCUUUGAAACGCAAACACCAAGGGAGAUGGCCCCUGUCUUCCAGCUUAGGUGGGAGGCCAGGCGCCCCCCCCCCCUCUAAAUUGCAAAACAACCUCCUGUCAGGAAGGAGGAGAAGUUUGUUUUUCCUCUGGAUAAAGUCAGUUAGCUAACUAACUGGUCACCCCAAUUACCACGUAAAGUUAGGAUGAACUGAGUAUGACCAAUGGUGCUGUCAAGUCCUCUGACUUGAGGACCAGUGAUGGUUUAUCCUGAGAACAUGUAUGUCAUGGGUUGUAUCUGUGUGGCUCUCUAAAAGGGUGAGAUUUCUGUCUGCCUCUGUAAUCCGUGGUGGAUUGCCUGUGCCGUGCAUCAGCUUCUGGUUUAAUGCUUGUUCAAUAACAAAACGGAUUUUGUUCUCCACUACUUUGUGGAGAGAAUUUCUGGGUUGGGAGAAGAUUUUGUUUUUAGUUAUAUUUUCGCAAUAGUACCCACCAUGUGUCUGUUCUGUGCCUGACCUCCUGCAUUAAGUCCAUAUUUGUAAGUACAGUGUACGCCACCUUGGCUUUUUAUAGCUAAAGUUCUCUCAAAGGAUCCAGCAUUUUCCAAUAGAUGAUCUUAAAGCUUAGAGAAGGAUCAGAUAUUCAUUUUGUGAUGGUUCCUGAGAGUAAGGGACUUGUCCAAGCUCAUGCAGCCUGGAGAAAAACAAGGGACUGUUAAAUUCCUGGACUCCAGGACUCUCGUACCUGCUGCCAUAUCACCCAUCCUACAGGAGCCCACAUUAUUUGGAUUUUCACUGUAUUACACUAUUAUAAUUUCUUUUAUAAAUCACUUACAAUGUUCAGAUUUCCCCCAAAUUCCUCAUCAUGGUCUGCUUCAUCACAUUUGAUGAAUUUUAGAAAAGCAGUUUGAUCCACUUCUAAGUAGGUGUGUGAGAGAAAUGAGUGCAUAUUUCCACAGAAUGACUUGUACAUUCAUGUUCAUAGCAGUUUUAUUCACGAUAGCCAAACGUGGAAAGAACCCAAACACCUAUCAACAGGUGUGUAGAUAAGACAAUUGUGAUCUGUCCAUACUGUGGAACACUACUCAGCCAUUAGAAUAAAUAAAUGGUUGAUACAUGCAAAACCCUUAGUGAGUCUCAAAAACAUUAUACUGAGCUAGAGAAGCCAGACACAAAAGAGUAUAUACUACGUGAUUCCACUUAGAUGCAAUUCUAUAAGAAGCCAACUAAUCUAUGGUGAUAGAAAGCAGCUCCGUGGUUUCCUGGGGUGGAAGUGGCUGAGACUGACUGCAGAUGGGCACGUGGGAACUUUGGGGAAUGGUGGAGAUGUUCUACGUCUUGAUUAGGAUGGAGGUUGCACAGGUGUAUCCAUUUAUCAAAACAACCUGUAUACAUAAAAUGGGUGUAGUUAAUUGUAUAUAAUGUAUACUUCAGUAAAGUUAAUUCAAGAACUAAUCCUGUUUUUCUUCACGCACAAAAUUUGAAAUAAAAAAAUGCAGUUUGCUUUCUCAUCCCAGGUGACCUGGUUCGUAUGAAGAUGGGAGCAUAGCCCUUCUGCAGAGCCCUCUGAAUACGUCACAAGCUCAAACGGGCGUUAAGGUUAUCCUGGUCCAUCCGCGAUCUCUGAGAAGUAAACAGGGGCCUGGCUCGUAAUAACACGCAGCUGGGAGUGGUGUGUUCCCAGCGUUCUUCUCUGUGGGAAAGCCUGCCCUGUCAGAAGAAUAAAGCGCAGCCCACAGCUAGCAGGGCUGGUGAGGAAUCAUGAUGCUUUUAUAGGAAGGAAAGGGCUGUGAUUCACACGUGUCAGAGUUGAUGGGAAAAUUAAGGGCUCCCUUCCCCAAGGAGGGGCAAUAGAACUCUCUCUUUAAAUAUUACAUUUCUUUAAAUAAAAAGAAAAGUCACUUCAGCUCCUCCCCACUGAUUUCAUUUGGGAGAAACACCUGUCAGGUUUUGUAUUUGGUUAAGUCAAAUCCUUCCUCUGAACAAGGCAGUGCAGGGGGUAGGAAGAUCACCUAACUCUUGUUGGUGUUUACUUAAUGUAGAGAGAAAACACGCCUCUCUCUCCGUCACAUGAGCCAUCGCUCCCGCUAGGCGAAGGCAGGGACAUCGCCCUUCUCUGACCGGGUUACCACCCUCAAUUAAGGGUCAGGCAGAGAAAGAUGGGCCUGAAUUGUAAUUCAGUGUUUCAAAACAGACAUCAUGGAGCCGGCAGAUCAUCAGAUUGGGGGCCUAGAGAGAUUUUUAGAGGCCUUUGUACAUUCAUCAGAUUUCCAUCUGUCUUAAGUGUGGGCUUGCAUGAGGGUGUGGGGGAAGAAAGUAACGGAGCAGAGAUUUGAGUGAUGCAUCUACAAACCAAGGAACACCAAGGAUUUCUGGCCAUCACUGGAGAGGAGGGAGGCACGCAACAGGUUCAGCCUCAGAGCAUCAGAACAAACCAAUCCUGCCAGCACCUAAUUUCUGACUUCUAGCCUCCAGAGCCAUGAGAAUACAUUUCGGUUGUUUUAGCAUCCAGUUUGUGGUACUUUGCUCCGGUAGCCCUAGGAAGCUAAUACAGGAGCCCUAGCAGGAGAAAGAACUUGGUGUGUCUGGAGAAAGGUCAGAAGGCCGACGUGGCUGGAGGUGAUGAGUGAGGAGAGGGCCUCCAUAGUCCCCCCCUGCCUGGGCUGUGGGCUGCCCCCAGGUGGCCACUGGGGGAUCCUUCCAGCCCCACACGCUGGCCUCUUGCCAUGGAGAGAGCAUGCAGAUUGAGUCACAGGAGCUGGGUUCAGCCUCCCGCUCCCUCUGCUUGUAGCUGUGUAACUCACAUUUCCACUUUCCUCAUCUGUAACACGCGAGGAUGUUCAUGACGAGCUUGGCCUGUCCAUCUCUUGGGGUGCUAGCGAGGAGCAGCAGAAGUGUUUGAAAGCCUGCUGUGAAUCCUGCACCAGGGUGUCAGAUGCAACUAACUAGUCCUGCUGGUUCAGAGUUUCAGCAGAGACCCCCCAAAGGAAAAGAAAAUAGGAUGCUGCAUAUCUAGGCCUCACUAAGAGAUUAUGAGAUCAGUGUGGAAACCGCUAGCCCAUCACCUGCCUGGAGACUAAGUAAGAUGAGGCUGGGGGACCCAGCAAGAGACAGGCAGGGAGGAGUUCUCCAGAGUGAGAGCUGUGCAGGAAUGGGGGGGCAGGUGCUUCUCCCCUCACACCCCCCGGUCCCCACAAGAAGCCUAGUGAAACUCAGAGGCUUCGAAACGCCCACAGAGAGCUCGACAGGUACCCUCCAGAGUUGGAGGGACAAAGGGACUGAUACUUGAGCCACUGAUACAGAGACUGGUUGGAGUGGCCUAGGGUGGCGGGCUGAGGAAAGGGGUGCGCUGCAGUGAGCUGCACACAGGACCGCAGGGCUCAGGAGGGAGUUUCCAUGGCGGCGGGGGGACCCUCAGAAGAGAGCUGUGCUGAGUUGCCUUGAAAGGGACUCUGCCCCAAAGGACCAUCUGCAAGGCAAGGUGACCCCAGCAGAGUGACUCAGGGUGGGGUGGGUGGCAGAAGCCAGGGCUGGGAGCCAUUGUACGUGGGCAGCUUGAGGAGCAGCACCUGUGUGCAGUGCGUCCUCACAGCGGGAUCUCCGGGGGAUCUGCAGAAGCUCCCCAUGGGAACGAGUAAGCGUCUGGGCAGGACAUACCCAGGCACUGGUUCCAGACACCCGCGCUGAUCAAGCAGUCUCCUGGCAUUCCCUGUCCCCCUUCUCUGCUCCAAGUCUGGAGGGAUCAGAAGAGGAUUUGAGCAAGGUGAGGAACUGGGGAGAAGUCCUCCAUGUUCCUCCUCCUUUAUUUUGAGUUUCUUAGCCUGAGUCAGGCCUGAAUUGUAAACUGGAUGUGGGGUUAUCGCUUUGAGGUAGACUGAACUGGACUUCCAAUACUCGAAAAAGGAGACUAUUCAUUAAUAAAUAGAAUGACUGGAAAAUCUAUGGGACUUUUCUUGGAAUUUAUCCAGGGAGAGGGAAGAACAACUUGACAGCAGUUGCUUAAAGAAGCAGUGGUCAGAAUCAAGAUGUUUUUCUGUUCAUACCAUACUGAAUUUUCCUCUCUUAACAAAGAGCUUCUAGUUAGAUAAAUUAACCUUAGAACCUCCUUUCCUGGGAAUAAAAGGAUCAACAGAGCCCACUCUCUUUAUUGUGUCUAAACACAUAUUCACAUAGGGACAUGUUUUAAACAAUUAUUAAAUACGGGGUGCUAGAAACCAUUGUUCUCUUUCAUUAAUUUUAUUUAGGUUGAAUCUUGAGUUAGCAAUAGGAGAGGCCUAGGGUUUCAGAUUUCAAAGCCAAGAAUUUCAAAGACUGAGGUUGGAAAACCCCAUUCCCAGGAGUUCUGCAGGGGCAAGCCAGCCACCUGGAUGCAGGCCCCUGCGGGGGUAGCUUGCCUGAAUCUCCUACUGAGGCCUGGGGGCUAGUGAGAGUAGGGCUUUGGCGGCAGGUUUCUGUGGUCCCCUUCCUCUGUCCUCUGUCUGACAAUACCCCAAUUACUCAUUUGGCACUUAUAUCCUGUCAUCCUGUCACAGUUCAUUGAUUUUUACUGUACGAAUACUAACUCUUGGACUAGACCAUAAACUCCUUCAAGGUAGGAGUCUUGUUUUGAACAUUUUGUGUCCCCAUUUUAUCAUUCUUUCCAAACAACGUAUGCCAGGUAAGGUGCCGGGGCUGGAUAUGGAGUUGAGACCUGGACCACCUUCCCGGAGUUCAGCCAGGGGAGAUCGGUAAGUAAACAGAACUCUGGCUGUGUUUGCUCUGGGCUGUGCACUGGUAGUCCAGGGCCAUCUCAUAUCCUCCCUUCUCCACCUUUUCUCUUGGAAGCCAUCCCAUACCUGAGAGGCUGCUUCCUCUCAACUUCAGAGGUGGCACCUGUGGUCCAGGCCACAGGUAUUAACAAUCCUGAACUAAUUUCCCCCUCCACACACACAGUGAGUGGACACGUGACUGAAGAGGUGGGCCCGCUGAGGGAGCCUGCUUUCCUGCUGAACUUGAACCCAAGAGGUUGAGGUAGAGGCUGCUGCAGUCAGGAUGCCUGAGCCUGUAUGUUCUCCUCAGGUUCUAGUCUGAGCUGAAUUUUCUAUCAACCAAUAGAAAAUACAGAGAAGUGUUAUGAGGGAGUGGCGUUAUGGGAUCACGUAUGAUUACAUGUCACAAAUGUGUGUGUGUGUGUGUCUGAUGGCUUCUAGGAGGAAGUGACACCCGAACCAAACCUUGAAGGACCAGCAGGAGUUAACCAGAGCUGUUGCUUGCAGAGACUGGCAGGUCUGCACUUGCAUCCUGACAUCAGAAGUGAACAGCUGUGGCCCUACAGUUACCUGACAGCCUAGCCCAGUGGGAGCAAUGCAGAAUAGAGCUCAGUUUGCAUCCUGGCUCUGUCAACUACUUCGUAUUAUAGUUUGUGCAAGUAAGCUCAGACCUUUCAGCCUUGGUUUCUUCACCUGUGAAGUGGGAUGAUACUAUCUUGGCAGUAUAAAGUGACUGGCACAUGGUCGAUGCUUCAGAAGUAGAAGCUACUGCUCCUGAGACAGCGAACACAGAAGGAGGAGCCAUUGAAAGAGAAAGACACUAAAGGAGCCUAACUGUCACGGGAGAGCCUCAAGAUCCGUCCUGAGGGAGUGGAAUUUGCUCAGAAUAAAGUGCAUUGGCUGGUUGGCUACUCCACGAAUGGAAACGUGGUUGUCUAUUGCUGCAGACUGUAAACAGAGCCAUGGUGCCUCCACACAGCAGUCAACCCUGCAGCUGGAAACAGAGCAAGGAAGUUCUUUACGUACCGCCAUGGACGGGUCCACAGGACAUGUUCCCAAGGGAAAAGUGUGAGGUUCAGAACAGUAUGUAUAAUCUAUUGCUUAUAUAGCAAAGUGAAAUCCAUAAACUAUCUUGGGAAUAUCACACAUCAUCUAAUGACAUUGGUUGUCUAUGGAGGAGGGGAGCUGGGUGACUGGUGGUAGUGGUGAGAGAAGGAAUUCUCAGCGUAAUAAUUCUAAUAACUCUUCUAAAUCUUUAACGCAUGAAAUUAAAUCACCUACUUAAUCAUAUCAGAAAAGAAAUUUAAGGAUAUGGCCUAUGAAGUCGAGCCGUCCUGGGUUUGAGUUUGGCUCCAUAAUUUAUUGCUGUGUGAUACUGAACAAAUUAUUCAA